GAGGUAAAUGCCAAAUUUGGUCAGAUUAAGCAAUUGUGCCCAGAUUCCCAACUGACAAAUAGAAGAAAAUGGUGCCAAGCCAGACUACUUGGCAGUCUUCACAGUUCCCUGGGCCCUUUUAUUUAUCUUGAAUCCUGUAUCUAUAAAUGACACAAGAAAGCAGAAGCUAAGAGAGUAUUACUAAGAAGACCAGAAGGUGAAGGGAUCUCAUGGAUUCAGCAUCAGCUGGGAAGACAUGAGUCAGCACCAGAGAACCUACUUUCAUCUAUGGACUCCAUGGACCCCUGCACAGCAUUGUGGUUAUGUCCAUGAAUAAGCAUCCCACAAAAAUAUGGGCCCAUUUCUCUGUCAC
Molecule: long non-coding RNA, 352 nt
Organism: Mirounga angustirostris (Northern elephant seal)
Lineage: Eukaryota; Metazoa; Chordata; Mammalia; Carnivora; Phocidae
Exons: 4
Source: RefSeq, a predicted model, not a curated record